UACGUAGGGGGCAAGCGUUGUUCGGAAUUACUGGGCGUAAAGGGCGCGUAGGCGGCACGGCAAGUCAGGAGUGAAAGCCCUGGGCUCAACCCGGGAACUGCUUUUGAAACUGCCGAGCUAGAGUGCGGAAGGGGCAACUGGAAUUCCCAGUGUAGCGGUGAAAUGCGUAGAUAUUGGGAAGAACACCUGAGGCGAAGGCGGGUUGCUGGGCCGACACUGACGCUGAGGCGCGAAAGCGUGGGGAGCGAACAGG
This 253-nucleotide ribosomal RNA is filed under the name uncultured bacterium. Its description in RNAcentral is "partial 16S ribosomal RNA". It matches the Rfam family "Bacterial small subunit ribosomal RNA", at positions 524 to 776 of the family's 1533-position model. The record is from RNAcentral.